Molecule: long non-coding RNA, 1200 nt
Organism: Heterocephalus glaber (naked mole-rat)
Lineage: Eukaryota; Metazoa; Chordata; Mammalia; Rodentia; Bathyergidae
Source: Ensembl
GAGCUUGGGGGCCCAGGGCCGCUCCCAGCCGGCGGGAGCGCGCGCCUCGACCCCAGUGCGCGAAGGCGGAGGCCGAGGGGCGCCGGGCGCACUUGGCCAGGGCGAAGGAAGAGCCCUCCGGACCCCUCGCCCGCCGGGCCAGACGCUGCCUCCCCACCCAGCCCCCUCCUAAUCUGGGUCUCCCCUGAGCAGUGCCCACGCGGCAGCCCCUUCGCCCGGGCGGCAGCCCCUUCGCCCGGGCCGCAGCGCCCGCGCCGUCCUUGGGGAGCCCGGCGCCGGAGACUCACUCGGCCUGAUGGCUGCAACCCGCGCAGAUCGCCGACGCGGGAGCCCACAGCAGCUUCGUCACCGCCUUCGCGGCUCGCUGCGCCGUGUCCGGCCUGCUUUGCCCUCCUGAGGCAGACAGAACUCUGCGUGUCCACCUGUGGCCUGUGCCCAAGGGUCUGCUCCGUGAGGCUUUGCCUCACCGCUUCACUACCUUAUCCGAGCCUGAAGACACCUAGGCACCCCGUUUUAGGGAAUAAAUCCACUUAGUAAGCCUGCUCACAAGUAAUGGAGAUUAAGUCUUAGCCAAUGGGGCACGGAGCCCAGAACAUUGUGCUACUGAAUAGGUAAUUUCCACAUGACAUUUGCCCUUUUGGAAUACAGCUGCCAUAUAAAGAAGUCUGAGGUAUCCUACUGGAAAGACCACGUGGAGAAGGGGGCCCCAGAUAACUGCUAGACAUGUGCAUGAGAUCAUCUUAGUUCCAACUGAACCCGAGCUGUUCCAAUGGAAAUGACAUCAUUGCAAAGUUGUUAAAAGCAUUAGCUCUGGGCCAAGGAUUUAGCUCAGUGGUUCUGCCGCCUGCCUCGCAAGCGCAAGGGCCCGAGUUUGAUCCCUGGUACCAAAAAAAAAAAAGCAUUAGCUCUGGACCCAGACCGACUGGAUUCGAGUCCUUACAUUACUGUUUAUUAGCUAUAUCACUGUGAGUUUAUAAAUCAACCUUUCCAUAGUUACUUAUGGUUUGAUGGGGAUAAAAUCAUGGAAUUCAGUUUGCUAACCUAUUAAAGGAAAUAUAGGCCUCUGCUUUAUAGGCUUACAAUGAAACCAAACACUUAAACAAGUAAAGACAGCAUCUGAAACAUAGAAGAACUUGUACAAGAGUUGAAAAUCAUUGCCCUUGUGAGAUGAAAAUUGGAAUGGAGAGACAUGGAGUUGGG